AACUGGAAAAAAACGGCCGCCAUUUUGUGAAAUUAUCUAUUUAUGUAAAUAUUAAAAACUGAUUAUUCUUCAAAUGGAUCAUGAUAUCUGGUCUCUGAUAUGUCAAUGAUCAAAAAUACUCACUCUCAACGUUGAAAGACCAGUAUUUCAAUGUGGAUGUCAAAGGAUUUUAGUAGAGUCUUCACACACAUGUGCUUUCAGCUAUUGUCACUGGGAAGCACUCGCCAGGAAUUGGUUGUGCCGCAAACCGGAAGUGACGUCAAAAACGGUGGAAUUGAAGGUAACAUGACCAAUAGCAUUCAUAGUGGUAACUCCAUGAAUUGCAAGCAAAUUAUAAUAUACUAAAUGCCCGUAAAGGCAGUGUAUUAUAAUAAAAAGAACAUUAUAAAUCUGUUUAUAGACUAUUUUAAGAAAAUAUUUUAUUUUUUAACUCAUUACACCCGAAAUGUAUUUAUCUAUUUAAGAGUAAAGUUAGAGUGGUAUAUAUUAAAGUAAAUACAGGUAUUAUUUCUAUUGUGUUCUCAAAAACUCUAAUAUUUUAAGAGUGAAUAUAAGCGGAUAUUUAAACGCCUUCACUCAGUAGAAUUGGUCCGACUAAGGUUUUAAGUGUAAAUCUAUUAAAUGAUCAAGUUAUUUUAGAAGUAUAAGUAAGGAGGUUCUAAAAGGAUUUAAUCCAAAGGUUAUAUUAAGGGUCCAGUGACCGACUAAUUAAUCGCUCUCUUUAGAAAUAGGGUGAGGAUAGAGAGAGAGGGAGAGAAAGAGGUGUAUCCCUAAUGGGGUACUGGUUAGAGAAAUUCAGAGGCAAGGAUGUGGUCAGUGACUACGUCUCACUCCCCCCAGCCGGUCUAGUCUUCUCGUACGUAACCCGCUACCUCGUGCGACCGGACCCGGGACGGCCGAGGAAGGGGUAAGGGUUUAAAGGUUAAAAGUAGAGAAUAAAGGAGGUGGACUGUUUUUAAAUGUAAGAAAUAAGGACAAAGUUAAAAUGGUACACUCAUAAGUAAAUAAUCUCAGUUGUUCAGGAAUAUUUUGAUAAGAGCUUCAUGAUAGUAAAUCACUCCUGCAAUCUUAAUCAAAACCAAUUAAUUGAUAAGUGUUGGUAAAGAAAACGAGCGACCCAGUCAAAAUACCACGGGUCAGUGUAAGUCCCCCGUUUCUCCAGGCUCCGGCUGGGUUAGGUUAGGUAAAAGCCACCAGAUCUCCCCAUGUCGCCCGACGACUUCAUGGUUAUACGGAGAUCCAAGGAAAGGCACGCGCACUAGAGGACGUGUCGGCCUUACCCUAGCAUAGCAUUAUGACUGGACCAUAAAGAAUAAAGUGUGUAAAAGUAGACAGGAUAAUUUAAGCUUGAAGGACAGAGACACGGAGGAGGGUAGCUGUGUUGACGGCGGAUGCCUCCUCUUGCCGCAAUGGCCGUAUCUGUUUUUAGACCCGUUUCCUUUCGUUAUCCCCUGACGGGGCUCGUACCAGAAAGGGGUCGGAAAAAGAGCAGAAUGAGGGGGGAGAAUGUGGUUUAGGUUUAGGCAAGGAAGCCAAAGUGGUUGAGAUUAGUGGUCAAACUGAGGGAAAGAUGGUCGCUGAAUUAAUGGAUAUUGAUUUUAGGAUUAGGCAAAAGGCCGGAGUGGUUAGGAUUAGUGGUCAAACUGAGGGAAAGAUGGUCCAU
Molecule: long non-coding RNA, 1663 nt
Organism: Notothenia coriiceps (black rockcod)
Lineage: Eukaryota; Metazoa; Chordata; Actinopteri; Perciformes; Nototheniidae
Exons: 2
Source: RefSeq, a predicted model, not a curated record